Molecule: ribosomal RNA, 350 nt
Filed under: uncultured bacterium
Lineage: Bacteria
Description: bacterial SSU rRNA
Rfam family: Bacterial small subunit ribosomal RNA
Source: RNAcentral
GGGGGAAUAUUGGACAAUGGGGGCAACCCUGAUCCAGCGAUGCCGCGUGAGUGAUGAAGGCCUUCGGGUUGUAAAACUCUUUCGUCAGGGAAGAUAAUGACGGUACCUGAAGAAGAAGAUCCGGCUAACUCCGUGCCAGCAGCCGCGGUAAUACGGAGGGAUCUAGCGUUAUUCGGAAAUUACUGGGCGUAAAGCGAGCGUAGGCGGAUUUGUAAGUUGGAGGUGAAAUCCCAGAGCUUAACUCUGGAACUGCCUUCAAAACUACAUUUCUUGAGUUUGGUAGAGGAGAGUGGAAUUCCUAGUGUAGAGGUGAAAUUCGUAGAUAUUAGGAGGAACACCAGUGGCGAAGG